GAUGAACGCUGGCGGCGUGCCUAAUACAUGCAAGUCGAGCGAACGGACGAGAAGCUUGCUUCUCUGAUGCUAGCGGCGGACGGGUGAGUAACACGUGGAUAACCUACCUAUAAGACUGGGAUAACUUCGGGAAACCGGAGCUAAUACCGGAUAAUAUUUUGAACCGCAUGGUUCAAAAGUGAAAGACGGUCUUGCUGUCACUUAUAGAUGGAUCCGCGCUGCAUUAGCUAGUUGGUAAGGUAACGGCUUACCAAGGCAACGAUGCAUAGCCGACCUGAGAGGGUGAUCGGCCACACUGGAACUGAGACACGGUCCAGACUCCUACGGGAGGCAGCAGUAGGGAAUCUUCCGCAAUGGGCGAAAGCCUGACGGAGCAACGCCGCGUGAGUGAUGAAGGUCUUCGGAUCGUAAAACUCUGUUAUUAGGGAAGAACAUAUGUGUAAGUAACUGUGCACAUCUUGACGGUACCUAAUCAGAAAGCCACGGCUAAUUACGUGCCAGCAGCCGCGGUAAUACGUAGGUGGCAAGCGUUAUCCGGAAUUAUUGGGCGUAAAGCGCGCGUAGGCGGUUUUUUAAGUCUGAUGUGAAAGCCCACGGCUCAACCGUGGAGGGUCAUUGGAAACUGGAAAACUUGAGUGCAGAAGGGGAAAGUGGAAUUCCAUGUGUAGCGGUGAAAUGCGCAGAGAUAUGGAGGAACACCAGUGGCGAAGGCGACUUUCUGGUCUGUAACUGACGCUGAUGUGCGAAAGCGUGGGGAUCAAACAGGAUUAGAUACCCUGGUAGUCCACGCCGUAAACGAUGAGUGCUAAGUGUUAGGGGGUUUCCGCCCCUUAGUGCUGCAGCUAACGCAUUAAGCACUCCGCCUGGGGAGUACGACCGCAAGGUUGAAACUCAAAGGAAUUGACGGGGACCCGCACAAGCGGUGGAGCAUGUGGUUUAAUUCGAAGCAAUGCGAAGAACCUUACCAAAUCUUGACAUCCUUUGACAACUCUAGAGAUAGAGCCUUCCCCUUCGGGGGGGCAAAGUGACAGGUGGUGCAUGGUUGUCGUCAGCUCGUGUCGUGAGAUGUUGGGUUAAGUCCCGCAACGAGCGCAACCCUUAAGCUUAGUUGCCAUCAUUAAGUUGGGCACUCUAAGUUGACUGCCGGUGACAAACCGGAGGAAGGUGGGGAUGACGUCAAAUCAUCAUGCCCCUUAUGAUUUGGGCUACACACGUGCUACAAUGGACAAUACAAAGGGCAGCGAAACCGCGAGGUCAAGCAAAUCCCAUAAAGUUGUUCUCAGUUCGGAUUGUAGUCUGCAACUCGACUACAUGAAGCUGGAAUCGCUAGUAAUCGUAGAUCAGCAUGCUACGGUGAAUACGUUCCCGGGUCU
This 1373-nucleotide ribosomal RNA is filed under the name uncultured bacterium. RNAcentral's name for it is "bacterial SSU rRNA". It matches the Rfam family "Bacterial small subunit ribosomal RNA", at positions 28 to 1381 of the family's 1533-position model. The record is from RNAcentral.